Molecule: ribosomal RNA, 465 nt
Filed under: uncultured bacterium
Lineage: Bacteria
Description: bacterial SSU rRNA
Rfam family: Bacterial small subunit ribosomal RNA
Source: RNAcentral
GCCAGACUCCUACGGGAGGCAGCAGUGAGGAAUAUUGGUCAAUGGGCGGGAGCCUGAACCAGCCAAGUCGCGUGAAGGAAGAAGGUACUUAGUAUUGUAAACUUCUUUUGUCGGGGAACAAAGGCGGAGACGCGUCUCCGGAUGAGUGUACCCGAAGAAAAAGCAUCGGCUAACUCCGUGCCAGCAGCCGCGGUAAUACGGAGGAUGCGAGCGUUAUCCGGAUUUAUUGGGUUUAAAGGGUGCGCAGGCGGGAGAUCAAGUCAGCGGUAAAAUGUCGGGGCUCAACCCCGGCCGGCCGUUGAAACUGGUUUUCUAGAGUUGGAGAGAAGUACGCGGAAUGCGCGGUGUAGCGGUGAAAUGCUUAGAUAUCGCGCAGAACCCCGAUUGCGAAGGCAGCUCACUGGACUGCAACUGACACUGAUGCUCGAAAGUGUGGGUAUCAAACAGGAUUAGAUACCCGGGUAU